This 789-nucleotide ribosomal RNA is filed under the name uncultured bacterium. RNAcentral describes it as "bacterial SSU rRNA". It matches the Rfam family "Bacterial small subunit ribosomal RNA", at positions 8 to 796 of the family's 1533-position model. The record is from RNAcentral.
AGAGUUUGAUCCUGGCUCAGGAUGAACGCUAGCGGCAGGCCUAAUACAUGCAAGUCGAACGGACUGGAGUAGCAAUACUUCAGUUAGUGGCGCACGGGUGCGUAACGCGUAUGCAACCUACCUUUUAUUGGGGGAUAGCCCGAAGAAAUUCGGAUUAAUACCGCAUAAUAUCAUUUGAGGGCAUCUGAGGAUGAUUAAAGCUACGGCGAUAAAAGAUGGGCAUGCGUGUCAUUAGCUAGUUGGUUGAGGUAACGGCUCACCAAGGCGACGAUGACUAGGGGUUCUGAGAGGAUGAUCCCCCACACUGGUACUGAGAUACGGACCAGACUCCUACGGGAGGCAGCAGUAGGGAAUAUUGGGCAAUGGCGGAAACGCUGACCCAGCCAUGCCGCGUGCAGGAUGAAGGCCUUCUGGGUUGUAAACUGCUUUUAUCUAGGAAGAAAAUACUCUUGCGAGAGGAACUGACGGUACUAGAUGAAUAAGCACCGGCUAACUCCGUGCCAGCAGCCGCGGUAAUACGGAGGGUGCAAGCGUUGUCCGGAUUUAUUGGGUUUAAAGGGUGCGUAGGCGGCUUCAUAAGUCCGUGGUGAAAGCCAACAGCUCAACUGUUGAACUGCCAUGGAUACUGUGAGGCUUGAGUACAGACGAGGUAGGCGGAAUGGAUCGUGUAGCGGUGAAAUGCAUAGAUACGAUCCAGAACUCCGAUUGCGAAGGCAGCUUACUAGGCUGUAACUGACGCUGAGGCACGAAAGCGUGGGGAGCGAACAGGAUUAGAUACCCUAGUAGUCC